RNAcentral lists this long non-coding RNA (1379 nucleotides) under Ailuropoda melanoleuca (giant panda). RNAcentral's name for it is "lncRNA (ENSAMEG00000028665.1)". Lineage: Eukaryota; Metazoa; Chordata; Mammalia; Carnivora; Ursidae. The record is from RNAcentral.
CCGAGAUCAAGGGUCACACACUCUACCGACUGAGCCAGCCAGGUACCUCUGUACUGUCAUAAACAUUUUAGAAUAAGUUCCUCCUCAAGUUCCUAAGAAUUUAACUUACAGCUUAUUUGGGGGAGAGCUGUCAUCUUUCUAACGUUGAGUCAGUGCAUCCAAACCAAGAAUUUAUCUCCCCAUUUACACUGGUUUUUAUGUCCUUUAACAGUUUCACAUUUUUUUCCCAUAAAGGUUUUACAUAAAUGUGGAGAACAUCCUUAGUAAAUUUUAGUUCUCGGGCACCUGGGUGGCUCAGUCGGUUGGAUGUCCAACCCUUGGUUUCCGCUCAGGUCAUGAUCUCAGGGUCGUGAGAUCAAGCCCGACAUUGGGCCCUACACUCGGCUUGGAGUCUGCUUGGGAUUCUCUCCCUCUGCCCCUCCCCCUGCUCGUGCUCUCUCUCUCUCCUCCUGUCUCUCAAAUGAAUACAUGAAUCUUUAAAAAAAAUAAAUGAAGUUUAGUUCCGAACACUUCAUAGAUUCUGUUAGUGUUGUGAUCGUUUGUGUUCUAUUGCUUCGAGCUCAUUAUUGCCAGUGCCAAGGAGAGCGAGUGCCAUUUGUAAGUGUUUCUUGCAUCCGGUGAAGCCCUGACUCUGCUGUUGGCUCCAGUGGUUUGCUUAUUGUCGCUGCUAGAUUUUCCUCGUACGUAAUUAUACCGUCACAUAAUUAUCUUUUCCUUUCCUGUCUUACUGCUUUUUUCAUUUUCUUAUCCUAGUGCGUUGGCCAGGACCCCACCAGUGCUGCCGUCAUGACAGUCCUGUCCUACCCCCGUCUUUGCAGGGAGCGCAUCAUGACAGGACCGAGGGGACUUUUGGAAGGAAAAUACGGCCGGGCAGGAAGAUCACGGCAGCUGUCACCGUCAAAAGCCUUCGCAAAAACAUGGCCUGUGUGUUAGAAGCGUGUGCCCGUAACCGUAAGGAGGGGAAGGCGAGGACGCCCACACGGAAGGAAAGCAGGAAUUGGGUCUGUUUUGUAUCUUUCACAGCCGUCAUCCUUUACUGAAACGGACAAGACCGUCAGACCCCGAGCCGUGGCGUCGGAGAGCAAACGUCGCCGCAAUGCUUUCACGGAGCCUCUGAGCGAACGUCACCCGGCUCUGUGCUCUGAGCGUGUCCUCCAGGCUCACUGAAGCAGGAGGUCUUGUUUUCCUCGUUUUGGAAUACGACGGAAGCUCCCCUUCCUCCCAACAGGAGUGCUUUAGACGCCGGGUGCUCACGGCAGGGGCGGCCUGGUAGGUUAGAGCUCAGGAGCCGGACUCGCUGGAGUGCAUCUCGGCUUCUCGCGCCCUUUCUCUGUGAGGACCGCCCGUCUUGGGGCUGUGGACGGAGUUCCUAGCGGUGG